This 292-nucleotide ribosomal RNA is filed under the name uncultured bacterium. RNAcentral's name for it is "partial 16S ribosomal RNA". It matches the Rfam family "Bacterial small subunit ribosomal RNA", at positions 505 to 796 of the family's 1533-position model. The record is from RNAcentral.
GUGCCAGCAGCCGCGGUAAUACAGAGGGGGCGAGCGUUAUUCGGAAUCAUUGGGCGUAAAGGGCGCGUAGGCGGCUGCGCAAGUCUCGGGUGAAAUCCCUCGGCUCAACCGAGGAACUGCCCUGGAAACUGCGCGGCUCGAGGCCGGGAGAGGAUGGUGGAAUUCCCAGUGUAGCGGUGAAAUGCGUAGAUAUUGGGAGGAACACCGGUGGCGAAGGCGGCCAUCUGGACCGGUCCUGACGCUGAGGCGCGAAAGCGUGGGGAGCAAACAGGAUUAGAAACCCCCGUAGUCC